This 250-nucleotide ribosomal RNA is filed under the name uncultured bacterium. Its description in RNAcentral is "partial 16S ribosomal RNA". It matches the Rfam family "Bacterial small subunit ribosomal RNA", at positions 524 to 774 of the family's 1533-position model. The record is from RNAcentral.
UACGUAGGUGGCAAGCGUUGUCCGGAAUUAUUGGGCGUAAAGCGCGCGCAGGCGGAUCUGUAAGUCUGUCUUAAAAGUUCGGGGCUCAACCCCGUGAGGGGAUAGAAACUGCAGAUCUUGAGUAUCGGAGAGGAAAGUGGAAUUCCUAGUGUAGCGGUGAAAUGCGUAGAGAUUAGGAAGAACACCAGUGGCGAAGGCGACUUUCUGGACGAACACUGACGCUGAGGCGCGAAAGCCAGGGGAGCGAACG